GAUUUGAAAAAUUAAAAAAAUUUAAAGAAGAAGAAGAUUAGAUUUAGAUUUGAUUUAGGAAGAUUAGAAUAAGAUUAAAAGAAACUUAGAAGAAGAUAAGAAUUUAGAACUUACAGUAGCAGCAGCAGAGUCGGAGAAAGAAGUAGCAGCAGAGCAGGAGAAAGUAGCAGCCGUAGAGAUGAAACCAGAGAGAGAACGUAAGAGAGAGAGAGACCAUAGAGAACAUGAGAGAGAGACCAGAGAGAACGUGAGAUUUUAUUUUAAUUUUUUUUAGCUUAACUUUUAUAUGGGCUUUUUUAGGUUUGGGUCGCCCUGAGCACGUUUGUAUGGGCCGCUCUGAACAGAGCGCUGGACCUGAGCGCCGUCCAGGUGGCCCAAGGCGUUUUAGGCGUUGUUUUUGCCUAGCGGAGCGUCCCCUUUAGAAAUAGCGCCUAGGCGGCGCUCAGGCGGUGCCCCUGACAGCAUAAACUAGGACUGCUUCGCAAGUUUAUUUGGUGACCCUGUUAUUUGAAUGCCAUUGUGUGUUGAUUUGUGUUCUAUAACUGAAUACCAUGUGGAGAUGGUGGUAAAAACUGAAUAUAAUAUGUGGUAGUUUGAAACUCAUGAAAUUUUGCCUGCAUGUUAUAACGACUUGGAAAACAUAUCAAUAUGUGAUAUUGUUUUUUCUUUUAAGUUCAUAAUGUAUGUUACGAUUCUACAAACUCGAUUUGUAAUUAUAUAAUCAUUAGGGUUUUUGUUUGAAUCAUUUUACUGAGGAUUGAUAAAAAUAAAUUAAAAAUGAGAAUUGAGAGAUAGACAACUAUAUAGAGGGUCUCUAUAACUCUCUAAUUAAUUCGUGCUAAUUCAUUCAUUUUUCUUAAUUAGAAUGAAUUUCCCUUGCAUUUUGUUUAAGUGCAAUAUAAAACAUAAGACCUAGUUAGACAUUUUGGCAUAUUGUUUUAGAUUAGAAUAAACAACGAAAGUCCUUCAGUCCCUUAGACUAUAAACAAGAUGGUAAUGUGGGAAAUGAAAAGUCCUUUGGGCUAUAAACAAGAAAAAUUCCUUAAAAUCAACGAAAGUCCCUCCAUCCCUUGGACUAUAAACAAGAUGGGAAUGUUGCAAGAGAAAAGUCCCUUGGACUAUAAACAAGAAAGACCCUUGAGAUCAACGAAAGUCCCUCAGUCCCUUAGACUAUAAACAAGAUGGGAAUGUUGGAAGAGAAAAAGUUCCUUGGACUAUAAACAAAAAGAGUCUCCAGAGAUCAACAAAAGUUUUUCAGUCCCUUGGACUAUAAACAAGAUGGGAAUGUUGGAAGAGAAAAGGCCCCUGGAUUAUGAACAAGAAAAAUCCCUUAAGAUCGACAAAAAAAGUCCCUUCGAUUAUAAACAAGAAAAGUCACUUAAGAUCAACGAAAGUCCCUCAGUCCCUUUGAUUAUAAACAAUAUGGGAAUGUUGGAGGAAAAAAGUCCCUUGGAUUACAAACAAGAAAAAUCCCUUAAGAUCAACGAAAGUCCCUUAGUCACUAUAAAUAACGAAAAGCCUCCGGUAAUAAGACGGGAAUGUUGGAAGAGAAAGUCCCUCUAGUCGUUGUAAUAUACUAAGCUUGGAAAUAAUAUUUCAAUUUCAUGUGUUGUGUUGUAAGUUGUUGGAAAUAAAUAAUGUGUGACUUUAUGCUAUGUCAUCCGAUGAAGGUGAAUAUUUUAUUCUUUUUGCUAGGAGUGCUUAUGAAGUUUAUUUGGUGACCCAGUUAUUGGAAUGCCAUUGUGUGUUGAUUUGUGUUUUAUAGCUGAAUAACAUGAAAUGUUGGUGGUAAAAACUGAAUAUAUUGGGUGGUAGUUUGAAACUGAUGAAAUUUUGCCUACAAAACGAUAUGGAAAACAUAUCAAUGUGAUAUUAUUUUUCUUUUAAGUUCAUAAUGUAUAUUACGAUUCUGCAAGCUCGAUUUGGAAUUAUAUGAUCAUUAAGGUUUUUGUUUGAAUCAUUUUACUGAGGAUUGAUAAAAAUUAAUUAAAAUGAGAAUUGGGAGUUGAAUUUUGUUUAACUGCAAUGUAAAACCUAAGGCUUAGUUAGACAUUUUGGCAUAUUGUUUUAGAUUAGAAUAAAUAACGAAAGUUCCUCAAGACCAAUUUUUAAAGAUUUAGAACUGAAAUACCCCUCUAUCUAGAUUUAAUCUUUUUAAUUAAUAAUUAUUAAACAUCCAUCAUCUCUAACCCAAACCCCACAAUCCCUAAUACACAACCCAUCACCACCCAUUCACCUCCAUCAUUAGUAUACUAAAACCACCACUAUUUGUGUAAUUGGUGAACUUUGUCUUUGAAAACAAUUGGAUAAGCUGUCGACUUAUGCAACAAACAAUUGGAUAAAUGUUCACCUACAUGGGGCAACAUAGAAUACAGUCACAUUAUUUAUUUUCAACAACUUACAAAACAUCACAUCAAAAUAAAAAUCAAACAGUCACCCCCAAACAAGAUAUUACAUUGUCCUCAACAUAAGAUAUAUGAGAAAAACAUAAAAAAUAAAUAAAUAGGAUAUUACCCCAUACAUGGCGUGUUUGUAGCUUAUUCUAUAACCAACCUUUUCUUCGUGUUGGAAAUAUUACUUCAAAGGUUAAUAUAUUACAACGGCUAGAGGGACUUUCUCUUCCAACAUUCUCAUCUUAUUUAUACUUUAAGUGACCAAGGGCUUUCGUUGUUUAUAAUAAAAGUCAAACAGUCACCCCCAAACAAGAUAUUACAUUGUCCUCAACAUAAGAUAUAUGAGAAAAACAUAAAAAAAAAAAUAGGAUAUUACCCCAUACAUGGCGUGUUUGUAGCUUAUUCCAUAACUAACCUUUAUUCGUGUUGGAAAUAUUACUUUAAAGGUUAAUAUAUUACAACGGCUAGAGGGACUUUCUCUUCCAACAUUCCCAUCUUAUUUAUACUUUAAGUGACCGAGGGCUUUCGUUGUUUAUAAUGACUAAGGGAGUUUCAUUGAUCUUAAGGGACUUUUCCAGUUUAUAGUCCAAAGGACUUUUUUGUUGAUUUUAAGGGACUUUUCUAGUUUAUACUUCAAAGGAUUUUUCUCUUCCAACAUUCCCAUCUUGUUUAUAAUCCAAGGAAUUUUUCUCUUCCAAUAUUCCGAUCUUGUUUAUAGUCCGAGAGACUUUUGUCGAUCUCAGGGAACUUUUCUUGUGGUUAGUCCAAGGGACUUUUCUCUUUCAAUAUUCCCAUAUUAUUUAUAGUCCAAGGGAUUGAGGGACUUUUGUUGAUCUCAAGGCACUUUUUUUGUUUAUAGUCCAAGGGACUUUUCUCUUCCAACAUUGCCAUCUUGUUUAUACUCCAAG
Molecule: long non-coding RNA, 3301 nt
Filed under: Aquilegia coerulea
Lineage: Eukaryota; Viridiplantae; Streptophyta; Magnoliopsida; Ranunculales; Ranunculaceae
Description: long non-coding RNA (ACOE_LNC001041)
Source: RNAcentral